RNAcentral lists this long non-coding RNA (435 nucleotides) under Olea europaea subsp. europaea. Lineage: Eukaryota; Viridiplantae; Streptophyta; Magnoliopsida; Lamiales; Oleaceae. The record is from RNAcentral.
GUCACAGUAAAAGAUCAAGAUUGCCUUGGUGAUGGGUACAGCAUUUAGUAGGUAUCUACCAUCAACUCACGAUACGUAUCAAGUCCAUUAGGUUGAUUCGGGACAGAUCGUGUCAAAAAGAAUGUGUGGAGAAACAUGGGCACACUAUUUGACUAAAGAAACCAUUGAAAAAUCAAUAGCAAUAGAACAUCAUUGACAUGAUUAUCACUAUCCCAUAUAUUAAAACAAAAAAUUGAAGAAAAAGGAAAGAAAAAUGGAGUAAGAAUAUAGUCUUUGAUCUCUAUUAAAAAAAUUCAUCAUUUGUCUAAACAUAAACACAUGUAGCAUGAUACAUCAGUAUAUACAAGUUUUGACUCCACCAUCAUUUCUUGGUUUGAGUCUUGACAAAUAAUACAAAGCUCCUAACUUAGCUCAAUUAAAUAUUCUGGUAUGCAA